Molecule: ribosomal RNA, 395 nt
Filed under: uncultured bacterium
Lineage: Bacteria
Description: bacterial SSU rRNA
Rfam family: Bacterial small subunit ribosomal RNA
Source: RNAcentral
GUGUCAGCAGCCGCGGUAAUACGUAGGGGGCGAGCGUUGUCCGAAUUCACUGGGCGUAAAGCGCGCGUAGGCGGGCUUUUAAGUUGUGGGUGAAAUCCCGAGGCUUAACCUCGGAGCUGCCUGCAAAACUGGAAGCCUUGAGGUUUGGAGAGGGAAGUGGAAUUCCAGGUGUAGCGGUGAAAUGCGUAGAUAUCUGGAGGAACACCCGUGGCGAAGGCGGCUUCCUGGCCAUAUCCUGACGCUGAGGUGCGAAAGCUAGGGGAGCGAACGGGAUUAGAUACCCCGGUAGUCCUAGCCGUAAACGAUGGAUACUAGGUGUUAGAGGUAUCGACCCCUCUAGUGCCGGAGCUAACGCAUUAAGUAUCCCGCCUGGGGAGUACGACCGCAAGGUUGAA